UUCUGCAAAAACACAAAGAGAUAGGAAAAAUAAUCAGAUUUUGCAAUUCUUGAAAAUAAAGUGAAAACAGAGCAACUCUGUUUUUGAGUGUAUACCAAGAAAGAAUUGCAUUUUCCGCCGAAUCCACGGUAAGGAUAAUCUUUCUCAGUGUUUAAGCCACCAUUUUUCAUGAUGAAUUGAAAAGCGUAGUCCAUUAAACCGCCGUUGCAACCUUGAUUGUAGGAUUUGUCGCAGUCAACAAGUUCUUGUUCUGAUAGAGAUAUGAGUUCUCCUGUUACGAUCUUGUUUAUACCUUCUACUGCUGCAGUAGUCGAAAACGCCCAACAACUUCCUGUGUUGAUCAAUACACAAACACAAAUAUUAACAUCAAUACACAUGCUGCAUGUGUUACAUGUUAAGUUACACAAAAUAUAACACAAAAGUUUGUUCUGUUACGAACCAUGUGUAAAUAUUAGACGUUCGUUAAUAAUAUCAGUUUGAUUAUAAAGGAAAAAGCAUAAUUGGUAAUUACCGC
Molecule: long non-coding RNA, 514 nt
Filed under: Arabidopsis thaliana (thale cress)
Lineage: Eukaryota; Viridiplantae; Streptophyta; Magnoliopsida; Brassicales; Brassicaceae
Description: long non-coding RNA (ATHA_LNC000325)
Source: RNAcentral